UACAGAGGCUGCGAGCGUUAUUCGGAUUCACUGGGCGUAAAGGGUGCGCAGGCGGCCGAGUGUGUGAGGCGUGAAAGCCCGGGGCUUAACCCCGGAAUUGCACCUCAAACUACACGGCUAGAGCAUUGGAGAGGGUAGCGGAAUUCACGGUGUAGCAGUGAAAUGCGUAGAUAUCGUGAGGAACACCAGAGGCGAAGGCGGCUACCUGGACAAUUGCUGACGCUCAGGCACGAAAGCGUGGGGAGCAAAAGGG
This 253-nucleotide ribosomal RNA is filed under the name uncultured bacterium. RNAcentral's name for it is "partial 16S ribosomal RNA". It matches the Rfam family "Bacterial small subunit ribosomal RNA", at positions 524 to 776 of the family's 1533-position model. The record is from RNAcentral.